RNAcentral lists this ribosomal RNA (495 nucleotides) under uncultured bacterium. RNAcentral's name for it is "partial 16S ribosomal RNA". It matches the Rfam family "Bacterial small subunit ribosomal RNA", at positions 28 to 507 of the family's 1533-position model. The record is from RNAcentral.
GACGAACGCUGGCGGCGUGCCUAAUACAUGCAAGUAGAACGCUGAAGGAGGAGCUUGCUUCUCUGGAUGAGUUGCGAACGGGUGAGUAACGCGUAGGUAACCUGCCUGGUAGCGGGGGAUAACUAUUGGAAACGAUAGCUAAUACCGCAUAAGAGUAGAUGUUGCAUGACAUUUACUUAAAAGGUGCAAUUGCAUCACUACCAGAUGGACCUGCGUUGUAUUAGCUAGUUGGUGAGGUAACGGCUCACCAAGGCAACGAUACAUAGCCGACCUGAGAGGGUGAUCGGCCACACUGGGACUGAGACACGGCCCAGACUCCUACGGGAGGCAGCAGUAGGGAAUCUUCAGCAAUGGACGGAAGUCUGACCGAGCAACGCCGCGUGAGUGAAGAAGGUUUUCGGAUCGUAAAGCUCUGUUGUAAGAGAAGAACGAGUGUGAGAGUGGAAAGUUCACACUGUGACGGUAUCUUACCAGAAAGGGACGGCUAACUACGUG